Molecule: long non-coding RNA, 586 nt
Organism: Grus americana (Whooping crane)
Lineage: Eukaryota; Metazoa; Chordata; Aves; Gruiformes; Gruidae
Exons: 3
Source: RefSeq, a predicted model, not a curated record
GGCUGGUGAUGGUAAAUGGUUACGCUUACCACCAGUAGUACCUCUGUUGGCAGAGUGCACGCUCUCUGCAGUCUCAAGAAAAGACAGAGGUGUAUGCAUACAAAGCAAGACCUUCACAAGACUACGGGACCUGUCCUCAUUUGGUGGGCAGAGCUAUUCUAAGAUGAAGUCUGGUGUGAUAUGAAAGAAUAUUUCAUUGAUGCAGUUCGAGUUUUGCCAGAAGCUUUUACCACAUGAGGAGAAAUUUACUUAAUACAAACCAAGAAUUCUUCAACAAGGGCUCACAGAAAAGAUGUAUGUCAACAAAGGUCUUGACAAAGGUACCAAAGUUAUCAUUUUACCAGGAGCAUCAACUCAUUCCCGGCUAACCAAGACCAUGGGAAUGGAAGCAAGAUACACGGAAGAAUAAAACCACCAGCUGGAAAUACAAGAAGAGGCUACAAAGAAAGAAGCCAGAAGCAACUGUAAAUGACGUGGAGAAUUAAUACUGUUCAUGCUUUGAGGAAUCACACAAAAAAAAGAUUACCUAGCCCUUAAAAACUUCGACAGUAUUCAGAAGCAGUACCACUGCAUGUAAAGAGUUAAU